CCUACGGGCGGCUGCAGUGGGGAAUAUUGGACAAUGGGGGCAACCCUGAUCCAGCCAUGCCGCGUGUGUGAAGAAGGCCCUCGGGUUGUAAAGCACUUUCAGUGAGGAAGAACGCCUGGUGGUUAAUACCCAUCAGGAAAGACAUCACUCACAGAAGAAGCACCGGCUAACUCCGUGCCAGCAGCCGCGGUAAUACGGGGGGUGCGAGCGUUAAUCGGAAUUACUGGGCGUAAAGCGCGCGUAGGUGGCUUGAUAAGCCGGUUGUGAAAGCCCCGGGCUCAACCUGGGAACGGCAUCCGGAACUGUCAAGCUAGAGUGCAGGAGAGGAAGGUAGAAUUCCCGGUGUAGCGGUGAAAUGCGUAGAGAUCGGGAGGAAUACCAGUGGCGAAGGCGGCCUUCUGGACUGACACUGACACUGAGGUGCGAAAGCGUGGGUAGCAAACAGGAUUAGAUACCCCUGUAGUC
RNAcentral lists this ribosomal RNA (465 nucleotides) under Vreelandella stevensii. RNAcentral's name for it is "partial 16S ribosomal RNA". It matches the Rfam family "Bacterial small subunit ribosomal RNA", at positions 338 to 795 of the family's 1533-position model. The record is from RNAcentral. Lineage: Bacteria; Pseudomonadati; Pseudomonadota; Gammaproteobacteria; Oceanospirillales; Halomonadaceae.